GCACAAGUCCAUGUGCUGAACCUCAGGGUUACAUCUUCAACAGUGCCUGGCUCUAAACAGAUUUACACAAUGAAAAUUAAAUGCCUCUAAAGGGUAUUCCAUAUGGUACUCUCCCCUGGAGUAAAUGCUGUGGACUGGCUCAUGUUUCUCCACUUCCAAUCUGUACUCUCUUUUGAAGAGUGACUAUACAUGGAUAACCAGUGAUUCUGACCGACGGAGUUCAUCAAGGCUUUACGCUCAAAAUCUUACUGUUUCACUGGUCUGAUUCACUCCCAUACACCGAAAAGCUCUCUUCAACUUGGAAUUCAGGCUUGGGUACUCGAAGAGCCUGUAUCAGCCAAAUUGUAAAGACAACAGGAGAUCUCAACCAAAAGAGAGAAGUUCAAAGGAUUUCUGAUGUUUCCUAUGCAAAGGAAAACGUUUCCUAUGCAAAGACUAUCAUUCAGUUAUUCUUCACUCAUAAACCAUUACAGGUGAACUACGGAUGCCAGCAAGAACAUGAUGCCUGGAUUCAAAUAUUUUAUAGCUUUUAA
Molecule: long non-coding RNA, 533 nt
Filed under: Numida meleagris (helmeted guineafowl)
Lineage: Eukaryota; Metazoa; Chordata; Aves; Galliformes; Numididae
Description: lncRNA (ENSNMEG00000021929.1)
Source: RNAcentral